UUGGAGGGCAAGUCUGGUGCCAGCAGCCGCGGUAAUUCCAGCUCCAAUAGCGUAUAUUAAAGUUGUUGCAGUUAAAAAGCUCGUAGUUGAAUUUCGGGGUCAGUAGGCUGGUCGUGCCACAGGUACGCACUGGUCUCACUGAUUCCUCCUUCCUGAUGAACCGUAAUGCCAUUAAUUUGGUGUUGCGGGGAGACUGGACUGUUACUUUGAAGAAAUUAGAGUGUUUAAAGCAGGCUAACGCUUGAAUACAUUAGCAUGGAAUAAUGAAAUAGGACGUUCGGUCUUAUUUUGUUGGUUUCUAAGAUUGACGUAAUGAUUAAUAGGGAUAGUUGGGGGCAUUAGUAUUCAAUUGUCAGAGGUGAAAUUCUUGGAUUUAUUGAAGACUAACUACUGCGAAAGCAUUUGCCAAGGAUGUUUUCAUUAAUCAAGAACGAAAGUUAGGGGAUCGAAGACGAUCAGAUACCGUCGUAGUCUUAACCAUAAACUAUGCCGACUAGGGAUCGGAUGAUGUUAAUUUUUUAAUGACUCAUUCGGCGCCUUACGGGAAACCAAAGUGUUUGGGUUC
RNAcentral lists this ribosomal RNA (565 nucleotides) under uncultured Glomeromycotina. RNAcentral describes it as "SSU rRNA". It matches the Rfam family "Eukaryotic small subunit ribosomal RNA", at positions 548 to 1114 of the family's 1831-position model. Lineage: Eukaryota; Fungi; Glomeromycota. The record is from RNAcentral.